Molecule: long non-coding RNA, 212 nt
Filed under: Elaeis guineensis (African oil palm)
Lineage: Eukaryota; Viridiplantae; Streptophyta; Magnoliopsida; Arecales; Arecaceae
Description: long non-coding RNA (EGUI_LNC059801)
Source: RNAcentral
GAGGGCCACUAGAAGAGAAAUUGCAAGGAAUUUCUUGCAACCGUGAAAUCGAUAAAUAUUGCUAAAGGUUUGUAUGUGAUACAAACUAAUUUAUCAUUAAGUACUUCGAUGUCAGAUUCUUGAGUAUUGGAUACUGCCUGUGGCUCAUACUUUUGCAAAUCGUUGCGGGGUCUACAGGAAAUAAAGAGUCUGAAUAAAGGUGACUUCGAGCU